AGAACGAACGCUGGCGGCAUGCCUAAUACAUGCAAGUCGAACGAACUCUUCGGAGUUAGUGGCGCACGGGUGCGUAACGCGUGGGAAUCUGCCCCUUGGUUCGGAAUAACAGUUGGAAACGACUGCUAAUACCGGAUGAUGACGAAAGUCCAAAGAUUUAUCGCCAAGGGAUGAGCCCGCGUAGGAUUAGCUAGUUGGUGAGGUAAAGGCUCACCAAGGCAACGAUCCUUAGCUGGUCUGAGAGGAUGAUCAGCCACACUGGGACUGAGACACGGCCCAGACUCCUACGGGAGCAGCAGUAGGGAAUAGUGGACAAGUGGGACGAAAGCCUAGAUCCAGCAAUGACCGCGUGAGUGAUGAAGGCCGUUAGGUGUAAG
RNAcentral lists this ribosomal RNA (377 nucleotides) under uncultured soil bacterium. RNAcentral's name for it is "bacterial SSU rRNA". It matches the Rfam family "Bacterial small subunit ribosomal RNA", at positions 26 to 429 of the family's 1533-position model. The record is from RNAcentral.